UUUUUUCUCAUUUUUUGUGCUGCAAAGACAUUGCAGGUGAAUAUUAGAGGGGAUUAUUAAUUGCAGGUGAAUAUUAGAGGGGAUUAUUAAACGGAAAUUGAUUAGAGGUGAAUAUUGAAUAUAUUCCCCGAUAAGAACAAAGGAAACCGAGCAGGGUGAAAAAUAAGCUAUCAUAUUACAACUGAAACAAAAUUAAUCAAUGUUACAACUUAUUCUUUGAAAAGUAUUAAUAAAACAGACGGAAAAUACCUGAUUCUUUCUGUGGUAUAAUCUGCUUCUUUUAUCGGACGGCGAAAAACAGCAAAACUUUGCCUCGCACGCCGCAAAAAAACAAUGAAAUUUGAAGUAAGACUAAAUCUAUGAACAAGUUUAAUAAAGAUUUACAUAGUCAAAACAAAAAUAUUGAAAAAAAAUGAAGAGAUUACCAUAAAAACGCGUCUCAAACACUGAAAUUCAUUUUUCGCCAUAUAAAAAUAUAGCAGAAUGAUUUGUUU
Non-coding RNA from Paramuricea clavata, 494 nucleotides. The record is from the annotation of a GenBank genome assembly. NCBI's taxonomy places the organism in Eukaryota, Metazoa, Cnidaria, Anthozoa, Malacalcyonacea, Plexauridae.